GGUUAUAGCUCAGUGGUAGAGUGAUUGCCUUGCAUGUAUGAGGCACUGGGUUUGAUCCUCAGCACCA
Molecule: transfer RNA, 67 nt
Filed under: Marmota monax (woodchuck)
Lineage: Eukaryota; Metazoa; Chordata; Mammalia; Rodentia; Sciuridae
Description: tRNA.Ala
Source: RNAcentral